GCUAAUCAUCUGCAGACAUCUGUAAUGACCCUUGGACAAAACCGAGGAAAACUAAAUCAAAGCUUUGACAAGGGCAGGAGAGCGGAAACAGAAGCCCUAAUUGUGGCCAUGUGAAGUGCACUUUCCCCUUUUGUAGCUUUUGUAAUAGAAUUGCACAAUACUUUAUAAAGUAACUUUUAUAGACAGACCCAGAAAUGACUUUUUCCAUCUUUGCGGAUAAAUGGUCAGACUCGAUCUGUGAAAUAUGCGAAGAAGGACCGACAUUAUGGUGCAAAUGUAGCAGACAAAAGGGUUUGGGCGAGCUUUUGCCAGUUAAAUUUGGCUAACCUGCAGAAAGCCUAUUGUCAAGCCAGCCAUGCUUCACUGAGCUCUCUUCCCUCUUUAUGGUUAAGUGAACCUCAAAACAAUGACAAAGAAAUAUGCACUGAGUCACAUAUUCUAAGAAAUAGACUGUACUCUCCUCAAAUCGAAAUAACGGCACUUUAAUUCUUGGAUUUUCCACAUUUUCGUUGGUAAAGCUCCUAUUUGCUUUCUCUGAAUCUGUAUCAGUUCAUGCAGUUCUGCCAAGUGGGGAAGCUUUGCAGGACACUGCCACUGUAGCACUUGAAAUAUUAAGAUGAACAGAACAAGCAAAAGGUGGGAAAACUGGAAAGAUUGAAUGUCCUUUGGAGUUCACAGAGGUUUGGCAGUGGGAGGAGAAAAACAAAACGAAGCAUAGUGGGAGUGUUGAACCGACUUUCCCAAGAUCCCCAGGGAAAUCAACAAAGAGUAUUGCUUCCUUGCGAAUUGGCAGGAAGGUUUCCAGCAUAAUAAAAGAGUGCAGAAAAAACAAGUUAAUUCAAGGAUAAAACUGUGAAUAAGUAGAAGAGAAGACUACACCAGGAAAAGAGACGGAGGUAGAGGCCCAAUGGAAAAUGACAACUUCAUCUCUCAGAAAACCACAGGUCAGAUGCAGAAAAGUAAUGCUUGGAUAAAUUAUAUCACAGGAGAUAUAGAGCUCAGCUACAAAGUCCAGAAAUACAACAGACAGAAGCAGAAAGAGCCAUGGGGAAACUUGAUGCUGGAAUUGGGGUUUUUAGCAUUGACUGUUACUUCUGCGUGGGUUGGAGUGGAUGCCACCUGGAUUCGAGAGUUUCUUUACUAAUGCUUGUGAACCCUGAAAAUCAGUCUGCAAAUAUCAAUUAGUCGUUUAGCUGGGCAAAGACAGUUCAACCUACUGAUAGGCAGACAACUAGGCUAAGGGUAAGCCCUAGCCCCUAUUUAUAGGAGAUCACUCAGCCUGGACUUCACAAUCAAGCUGAAAUUGAAAACUAACAAAAAAUAGAGUCAGAGAAACAUGAAGACCCAAAAAUAUCAAAGUAUUGAUACCCUAAAGACUCAAAUGAAGAUUAUAUCUCUCACUGUAUUUAAAUAUCACAAAAGAAUACAAUUUAGAAUUAAAAAACCACCAAUUUCUCAAGUAAUUCAAUAAAAUAAAAUAACAUUAAGUUUGUGAAACAGAGUAAGUUUAACAUGAAGGAACAGAUUAAAAUUAAAAUUAAAAUGGAAUUGGCUGAGAGGAUGUAUAAAAGGAAAAUACCUGUCCAUGAAGGGCAAUUUGGUAGUGUUUCUCAAAAAUACAAACAAAAAAAAAAAAAAAAGAGGAAAAACACAGAUUCUGAAUUCUAAAAAUUAUUAUUUUUAGGAAUGUAUCUGAAACUAGGCCUCAUAAAACUUAGAAACUAGGCCUCAUAUAGAAAAAAUUAACACCAGGUGGCUCUGGAUAGGGUCCCACCCUGCCUCGAUAGGGACCCACCCUGAUAGGGUCCCACCCUGCCAAUUCCGGGAAACAACCUCAUGGGGUCCCACCCUGCCAAUUCCGGGGGUCCCACCCUGCCUCGAAGUUCCCGGAAUCAACAACUCCAGAAAAAAAACCUCAUAAGGUCCUGCUCUAACCAAUUAGCAUAAGACACCUUGCUCAGGCCAUAGUUAGACCCAAUCAUUUUGCGCCUUAAGCUUUGUUUGAAUUUCGCGCCAUAAGCUGUGUUUGAACUUGUGUUUGCCUAUAUAAACAGCCUGUAACAAGCAGUCGGGGUCCCAGGGCCAACUUAGAGCUUGGGACCCUAGCGCGCUAGUAAUAAAUAACUCUCUGCUGUGAAUCUCGUGUCGGUGAUCCUUCGCGGCGACCCCUGCCCAGGAGGGAAUCGACAGUUCGGUUCCAACAGUAUCCUAUAUAUAUUCACUCCUGUGAAAGAGACAUACAAAGGCUAUUUGAAAGAAUGGUUUGUACUAUCAAAAAACUGAACAUAAACUAGAUCUCAAAAGACACACUAAAUUAUGCAAAUCCAUUUAAUAUAAUAUCCUGUAACUGUUAAAACUGAGGGACAAUUAAAG
RNAcentral lists this long non-coding RNA (2373 nucleotides) under Macaca mulatta (Rhesus monkey). RNAcentral's name for it is "lncRNA (ENSMMUG00000056736.1)". The record is from RNAcentral. Lineage: Eukaryota; Metazoa; Chordata; Mammalia; Primates; Cercopithecidae.